Molecule: ribosomal RNA, 1359 nt
Filed under: uncultured bacterium
Lineage: Bacteria
Description: bacterial SSU rRNA
Rfam family: Bacterial small subunit ribosomal RNA
Source: RNAcentral
AUUGAACGUUUGCGGCAGGCUUAACACAUGCAAGUCGAGCGGGGUGAUGGUGCUUGCACUAUCACUUAGCGGCGGACGGGUGUUUAAUGCUUAGGAAUCUGCCUAUUAGUGGGGGACAACAUUUCGAAAGGAAUGCUAAUACCGCAUACGUCCUACGGGAGAAAGCAGGGGAUCUUCGGACCUUGCGCUAAUAGAUGAGCCUAAGUCGGAUUAGCUAGUUGGUGGGGUAAAGGCCUACCAAGGCGACGAUCUGUAGCGGGUCUGAGAGGAUGAUCCGCCACACUGGGACUGAGACACGGCCCAGACUCCUACGGGAGGCAGCAGUGGGGAAUAUUGGACAAUGGGCGCAAGCCUGAUCCAGCCAUGCCGCGUGUGUGAAGAAGGCCUUAUGGUUGUAAAGCACUUUAAGCGAGGAGGAGGCUACUUUAGUUAAUACCUAGAGAUAGUGGACGUUACUCGCAGAAUAAGCACCGGCUAACUCUGUGCCAGCAGCCGCGGUAAUACAGAGGGUGCAAGCGUUAAUCGGACUUACUGGGCGUAAAGCGCGCGUAGGCGGCUAAUUAAGUCAAAUGUGAAAUCCCCGAGCUUAACUUGGGAAUUGCAUUCGAUACUGGUUAGCUAGAGUGUGGGAGAGGAUGGUAGAAUUCCAGGUGUAGCGGUGAAAUGCGUAGAGAUCUGGAGGAAUACCGAUGGCGAAGGCAGCCAUCUGGCCUAACACUGACGCUGAGGUGCGAAAGCAUGGGGAGCAAACAGGAUUAGAUACCCUGGUAGUCCAUGCCGUAAACGAUGUCUACUAGCCGUUGGGGCCUUUGAGGCUUUAGUGGCGCAGCUAACGCGAUAAGUAGACCGCCUGGGGAGUACGGUCGCAAGACUAAAACUCAAAUGAAUUGACGGGGGCCCGCACAAGCGGUGGAGCAUGUGGUUUAAUUCGAUGCAACGCGAAGAACCUUACCUGGCCUUGACAUAGUAAGAACUUUCCAGAGAUGGAUUGGUGCCUUCGGGAACUUACAUACAGGUGCUGCAUGACUGUCGUCAGCUCGUGUCGUGAGAUGUUGGGUUAAGUCCCGCAACGAGCGCAACCCUUUUCCUUAUUUGCCAGCGAGUAAUGUCGGGAACUUUAAGGAUACUGCCAGUGACAAACUGGAGGAAGGCGGGGACGACGUCAAGUCAUCAUGGCCCUUACGGCCAGGGCUACACACGUGCUACAAUGGUCGGUACAAAGGGUUGCUACCUAGCGAUAGGAUGCUAAUCUCAAAAAGCCGAUCGUAGUCCGGAUUGGAGUCUGCAACUCGACUCCAUGAAGUCGGAAUCGCUAGUAAUCGCGGAUCAGAAUGCCGCGGUGAAUACGUUCCCGGGCCU